CGAGGCCGGGCAGAGCAGCGCCGCCGCCGUCGGGCGCGCAGCUCUGCAGCGCCGCGAACGCCUCUGUGUCCGCAGCCCCCGGAGCCCCGCGGCUCCGCAUUGUCCCUGGCCCCCUGGCGGAGAUCCGGGACGAACGUCGCCGUCACUUCAAGAAAGGUCCUACGAAGCACACUCUGUGGUCAAGAAAAAUCGUGGCUUGGAAGGUUCACAAUUAGCCCAAAGAAACCAAGUGGAGAGGCCCAGCUGAAAGUCUCCUUAACUCUUCAGGUAGACUGAACUUUUUGUGUUUAUGAUUUUGAACAUUGUUUCAGGCUUUUAGAAAACACCAUUAUUGGCUUAUCUCUUAAAUCCUUUACAUUCUCUGGAGCAAAAUAAAUAAAAUAAAACAAGGA
Physeter macrocephalus (sperm whale) is the source of this 392-nucleotide long non-coding RNA. RefSeq lists it as uncharacterized. The transcript is spliced from 3 exons. The record is from RefSeq and is a predicted model, not a curated record. Lineage: Eukaryota; Metazoa; Chordata; Mammalia; Artiodactyla; Physeteridae.